UGUAUAGUAAGGCAUUUUUAGCCGAAAAAAACUACCAUGUAUAGUAAGGCGUUUUUAGCUGGAAAAAAACGACCAUGUAUAGUAAGGCGUUUUUAGUCGAAAAAAACGACCAUGUAUAGUAAGGCGUUUUCUUCAGAAAAAAAAAGACCAUGUAUAGUAAGGCGUUUUUAGCCGAAAAAAACGACCAUGUAUAGUAAGGCGUUUUUAGUCGAAAAAAACGACCAUGUAUAGUAAGGCGUUUUUAGCCGAAAAAAACGACCAUGUAUAGUAAGGCGUUUUUAGUCGAAAAAAACGACCAUGUAUAGUAAGGCGUUUUUAGCCGAAAAAAACGACCAUGUAUAGUAAGGCGUUUUUAGUCGAAAAAAACGACCAUGUAUAGUAAGGCGUUUUUAGCCGAAAAAAACGACCAUGUAUAGUAAGGCAUUUUUAGCCGAAAAAAGCGACCAUGUAUAGUAAGGCAUUUUUAGCCG
This is a long non-coding RNA of Hippocampus zosterae (dwarf seahorse), 470 nucleotides long. RefSeq lists it as uncharacterized. NCBI's taxonomy places the organism in Eukaryota, Metazoa, Chordata, Actinopteri, Syngnathiformes, Syngnathidae. The transcript is spliced from 3 exons. The record is from RefSeq and is a predicted model, not a curated record.